Molecule: long non-coding RNA, 576 nt
Organism: Erpetoichthys calabaricus (reedfish)
Lineage: Eukaryota; Metazoa; Chordata; Cladistia; Polypteriformes; Polypteridae
Exons: 4
Source: RefSeq, a predicted model, not a curated record
AUAGAUAGAUAGAUAGAUAGAUAGAUAGAUAGAUAGAUAGAUAGAUAGAUAGAUAGAUAGAUAGAUAGAUAGAUAGAUAGAGUGAAAGGUGCUAUAUAAUUGAUAGAUAGAGUGAAAGGUGCUAUAUGAUAGAUAAAUAGAUAGAUAUAGUGAAAGGUGCUAUAUAAUUGAUAGAUAGAUAGAGUGAAAGGUGCUAUAUAAUUGAUAGAUAGAGUGAAAGGUGCUAUAUGAUAGAUAGAGUGAAAGGUGCUAUAUAAUUGAUAGAUAGAGUGAAAGGUGCUAUAUGAUAGAUAGAGUGAAAGGUGCUAUAUAAUUGAUAGAUAGAUAGAUAGAUAGAUAGAGUGAAAGGUGCUAUAUGAUAGAUAGAUAGAUAGAUAGAUAGAUAGAUAGAUAGAUAGAUAGAUAGAUAGAUAGAUAGAGUGAAAGGUGCUAUAUGAUAGAUAGAUAGAUAGAUAGAUAGAUAGAGUGAAAGGUGCUAUAUGAUAGAUAGAUAGAUAGAUAGAGUGAAAGGUGCUAUAUGAUAGAUAGAUAGAUAGAUAGAUAGAUAGAUAGAUAGAUAGAUAGAUAGAUAGAUAG